GGCCACUCAGAGUUUAUUAGCUUCUUGUGUAACAGGCAGAAAUAGACUGAAGAGAUUUUGUGGACUCUGACACAAGGUCCAACAGUGUUUAUAAGAGAGGAAAAAAAAGUGGCUAACUUUGUCAUGAGCAGAACAUGCUGGAAAACUUUAGAUAACAAAUGGCUACUUAAAAAUCCUUGCGUAUUGUGAUUUUACAUUUUGAAUGAAAAUAGACGUUCAGAAUUCAUCUUCAGAGGACAGAAGUGAGCUGCCUCCCAUACUUCCGUGCCAAAGUUUCUUCAGUGGAGAGCAGCGAUGUGGGCAGAUGGCAAAGUGGUAGAAGGACUUUAAAACCAGCCGGGGGCCACUAACAUUGCAUGGGGACAGACAACAGCAUUCAUCUUCUACUCCUCCAAGUUAACGGUGGCACUGAUCAUUUCUCAGGCCAGGUUCUCACGCUGACCCUGCCGACAUUUUCAAGAGCGGCCCCUGGAAGACGCAGCCCUGAGCCCUGCGAACAAGCUCAUGUUGUGGGCAACAAUCAAGUGGAGGCUUAAAAAGUUUGGUUCGUACCUUAUCUCACACAUUACCAGUAAGCCCUCACCUCUCUAGAGCCCCUGAGGAUGCUGGGGGUACGUUCUGGAAGC
Molecule: long non-coding RNA, 626 nt
Filed under: Equus caballus (horse)
Lineage: Eukaryota; Metazoa; Chordata; Mammalia; Perissodactyla; Equidae
Description: lncRNA (ENSECAG00000037869.3)
Source: RNAcentral